CUUAUGAGGCAGGCGGCGGAACCACUGAGCUAAAUCCCCGGCCCUUGGCUCCUUGUAUACUAUACUCUAACCCAUAAAUGGCUGGAAACCAGUAGUUAAUUGGGAUUGGCUGGCCAGCAAAAUCUUCCCCUUGAAGGACAAAGCCAAGGUUGAUGCAAGAGAACAGCAAAGACCUGCAGGAACUGAGCUGUCACAAAGGCCGAUUUCGGGAGCUAGGAGCAGUAGAGGCUGCACUGGGGCAUCAAGGAAACCAGACUAACAGUGGUAACAAUUCUGGUUCACCAGAAGCCGGGCUGCAGCAUGGAGCAGAUAUAAAGAAGAUGAGAGGCUGACUCCCCUGACACGAAUAGAGGAAAGGCCCCUGAAUGAGAUCAUGUCAACUUCCUCUGCUUACACAGUAACGCUGGCCUUCUUUCCUUUUGGAAAAACAAGUCAUCCGUGCUCCAGAGUUCAGGGCCGCAUUGUGAAGUGUUUCUGAACCCCUGGUGACAGCGAACCGGCACGGGUCCAGGGACAGCCCCAUGCUGGCUUCUCCAGGCCUGGCCUUAGAGCCCCUGGGAGCGCACAAGGCCCACUUCACGUCCCUGCCAUCCAAACCUCUGUUUGUGCAAGUCUGCGAACUCCAGCAGAUAUGUGCUGAAAAUGUGGGCUUGCUGCUUAAAAGAGAAUAUUUUCUUCAAGAAUCUCAAGAUACUGCCUUGCAAGCGCAAGGUCCUGAGUUCGAUCUCCAGUACUAGAAAAAAAGAAUCUCAAGAUAGUGUUGAGUUGGUUUGGGGCUUAAUGAUAAAUUUUUAAAUGUUCAAAGGAAGUGAUUCUGUUUUCAGGUGCUGCUCCUACUCAUACAGAGCAAGACUCAGUCAAAUCACCUCACAGCUGAAAGUCACAGACAAAAAGAAUGUUUAAAUUAGAUUUUAAUCCAUGGAUUAGUACAUUAGAUUUCAUUUAGAAUUCUUUUCCUUAGUAAAUUAUUUUUGCUCUCCAGCAGGGAUUCUGGUUAAAGAAUAUGGUAUCAAUUCCCAGAGUUAACCUUAACUCAUAGUGGGUUAAAAGGUAUAAAAGAUCACAAUAUUUUGUAUAAGAAUAAGCUUCUUUAAUCAAACACUGAUAUGAUGCAGUCGUGUUAUGGAAAAUCAGUCUCUAAGUUACUGAACAGUAAAUAGUAAGUCAUAUGUUGGCAUGUAAAUUCUACAUAGAAAAUCAGGUGUGUAUAAAUGCCUUCAUUUUAAUUUUUUUUUGGCAAUGGUUGUAGAUCUGAAUUUUUAAACGUCUCUACUUAAAAAAAAAAAAAAAGAAAAGAAAAGGCUCUGUAGCAGGUUUUUCCUGGAUGCCAGCCUGCCAAGGCAAGCCUGCUGGCUGAGCGACAAGGCAUUAUUCCAACCACAUUCCCCACACUGCACCUCAGAGUGUAGUUCCCAGGAGGUCAGGUAUCUCUACAGACUAUGAGCAGCAUUCUUGAGGAUUUUGAAAACAAAGUUAUCUCCCUCCAGGUAAUUUGAUAAUACAGUGGAUACUCUGAACUAGCCCCCAAAGAGCCAGUUGCCCAGACUCACUGACACUGUCCAGUCCUGAUUUCUGGCCAACACACACAGCUCAUGGUCUUGCAAAUAGGCUCCUCUGGAUAGAAUAUCUUAACACUUCUGCCUUCAUCAGUUAUAGACUUACCAAGAAUAAGUUGUGUUUGCCCUCAAAUCUGUUUACAGAAGCUGUCUUUGUUAUUAUUCUUAUAUAAUUUAUUUGGCAUUUAAAACAAACAGGUAAAAUAAAAGUGACAAAAGAAAGAGAUUUGUAUUUUCUCUGAAAGAGAUGAGUUUUUUAAAUGUCAUUGUAUUAGGUCUGGGUGAAAAAACUGUAGAUGAUUGAUAGGAUAGUACAAAACCCUAAGAGCACUAUUUUCUCAGAUUGCUUCAAAAGUUCCUGGUCCAUAUAAAAGAAACCCAAUCCAAAGAAACUGUGCAGCUGAGAUAAUUAUGCAAAAAAAGAUGAUGUAGAAAACAAAUUGAUUGGCCUGAAAGUGUUAGAUUAAGGCACAUUUAUAUGCUGUAAGUCAAAAGAAAAUGCUCAAUAUUUAUAUGCUUUAAGGUAAAAGAAAAUGUUUGAUAUGUGUGUGCUGUCUGUCAUUCAUGAUGCCGUUCUAAUUAACUUUGUAUUGUUACCCCACGGACUACAAAUCCUGAUUAUUUUGAAUAGCAUGCAUAUGUAGAGUUCUGGAGAGAAUGAGCUAAGAAAGCAGACCCUGGAUUCAGGAAGCUAUAUCAGUCAAUGCAGAAGUAAAAAUGCACACCAUGAUGAUGACAGAAAAUUAGGAGGUGCAUAGAAAGAAAAGUUGAAGAGCAGACAUCAUAGCUUCAGGAAGUAAACAAGUUUGAGUCAGAGUGGGAGGAGCACUUUGGGAAAACACAGGAAAUCCAGGAAAAGAGGCUAAUUUAAUGGAGGAAAAGAAACUUGGGGUUUUGGUUUGUCAAAUUUAGACUAAAAACCAACUGGGUAAAGAUAUCCUGAGAUUGUUAGGAAGUACUUUGAAUAUAAGCCUGAAACUUAGGAGAGAAUUAGAUAACAGAAAUACACAAUUGUGAGCAGCAACAUAGACAAUAACAGUUAAAAUCCUGAGGAUGGAAGAAACCUAGAGGAAAUCAAGAUAGAAGUGACCUAAGAGGAAAAUUCUGUUUGAGUGCAAAAGGUUUAAGAAAACCCACAGAGAAGAAAGAAAAAUUCAGUAAGUAAAGAUGAGAAUUACAGUUAUAUCAAGUCUUCGAGGCCAGGGGAACAGAGAGUUGGGGAAGUAACAGAUGGCCAGGGACAUAGGUUUCAAGGAAGCAUCUUUUUUUU
Molecule: RNA transcript, 2826 nt
Organism: Heterocephalus glaber (naked mole-rat)
Lineage: Eukaryota; Metazoa; Chordata; Mammalia; Rodentia; Bathyergidae
Source: RefSeq, a predicted model, not a curated record